GAUGAACGCUGGCGGCGUGCCUAAUACAUGCAAGUCGAGCGAACAGACGAGGAGCUUGCUCCUCUGACGUUAGCGGCGGACGGGUGAGUAACACGUGGAUAACCUACCUAUAAGACUGGGAUAACUUCGGGAAACCGGAGCUAAUACCGGAUAAUAUAUUGAACCGCAUGGUUCAAUAGUGAAAGACGGUUUUGCUGUCACUUAUAGAUGGAUCCGCGCCGCAUUAGCUAGUUGGUAAGGUAACGGCUUACCAAGGCAACGAUGCGUAGCCGACCUGAGAGGGGGAUGGCACACACGGGAACGGAGACACGGUCCAGACUCCGGCGGGAGGAAGAAGGAGGAAUUCUCCCGGAUGGGGGAAAGGUUGGAGGGAGAAACCCCGGGGGGGGGAGAAGGGUGUGGGGAUCGAAAACCUGUGUUAUGAGGGAAAAAAAAAUGUGAAAGAAACUAUGCGCGUCUUGAGGGAACAUAACAAAAAGCCCACGGCAAACAACGUG
This 497-nucleotide ribosomal RNA is filed under the name uncultured bacterium. RNAcentral's name for it is "partial 16S ribosomal RNA". It matches the Rfam family "Bacterial small subunit ribosomal RNA", at positions 28 to 507 of the family's 1533-position model. The record is from RNAcentral.